This is a long non-coding RNA of Bombina bombina (fire-bellied toad), 347 nucleotides long. RefSeq lists it as uncharacterized. The record is from RefSeq and is a predicted model, not a curated record. Lineage: Eukaryota; Metazoa; Chordata; Amphibia; Anura; Bombinatoridae. The transcript has 2 exons.
AUCCAGCCUUAGCAAAGCCAAGCUCCAGACAUACCAGGUUCUGUACUUGACUCUCAGCCACCUGCAUCUUUAGCAGCCAUGAGAUUGUUUUUCCUCUUUCUUGUCCUGAUCCAGUAUUUGCUUGUGCCCAGCCAAGGUGGCAAGCCGUUUUACCCUCCUCCCAUUUUUCCUCAAGAUAUGCGACGUGAGCUUCAGUUAGAAGAAACAUUUGUGGAUAGUGAUGCUUUACAAUAAAGAGAUGAAGGACCUCAAGCAAGAGCGGUGUUCUGUUUCCUACAACAUGUUGCAUCCCAAAAAGAUGGUCCAGCAUUUGUCUGAUUAAAUAUUUUACUGAAUUCAUCUAGAAC